UACGUACCGUCCAAACGUUAUUCGGAAUUACUGGGCUUAAAGGGUACGUAGGCGGCGCUGUCAGUCGGGUGUGAAAUCCCAGGGCUCAACCCUGGAACUGCGCCCGAUACUGCAGUGCUUGAGGGAGACAGAGGUAAGCGGAACUGAUGGUGGAGCGGUGAAAUGCGUUGAUAUCAUCAGGAACACCAGUGGCGAAAGCGGCUUACUGGGUCUCUUCUGACGCUGAGGUACGAAAGCCAGGGGGAGCGAAGGGGG
Molecule: ribosomal RNA, 255 nt
Filed under: uncultured bacterium
Lineage: Bacteria
Description: partial 16S ribosomal RNA
Rfam family: Bacterial small subunit ribosomal RNA
Source: RNAcentral